RNAcentral lists this ribosomal RNA (253 nucleotides) under uncultured bacterium. RNAcentral's name for it is "partial 16S ribosomal RNA". It matches the Rfam family "Bacterial small subunit ribosomal RNA", at positions 524 to 776 of the family's 1533-position model. The record is from RNAcentral.
UACGGGGGAUGCAAGCGUUGUCCGGAUUUAUUGGGUUUAAAGGGUGCGUAGGCGGUUUGAUAAGUCAGUGGUUAAAUUAAGCAGCUCAACUGUUUGCUUGCCAUUGAUACUGUCAGACUUGAGACUUGAGGGGGUAAGCGGAAUUGGUAGUGUAGCGGUGAAAUGCAUAGAUACUACCAGGAAUAUCGAUAGUGAAGACAGCUUACUACGCAAGGACUGACGCUGAGGCACGAAAGCGUGGGGAUCAAACAGG